CCAUUUAACACAGCAGUUGAUUCCCUACCUCGCACCGUUUCUCGGCGCACAGCCGCCCUUUAACUGGUCCUUCGGCUGCUCUGUCCCUUCGUUCCCCCAGCCAACAGGCACGAACGUAAUAAUAUCCUAACACAACGACCAGGGUCAUAAGAUAAUGCAAAGCCUAGUGCCAUGAAAAAAUGAAAGCCCAACCCAACCGUUUUUUCCUCCGACGCUUCCCCUCCCAUCCUCGUCCAAUCCGCCUCCUCUCAUCGAGCCAAGUCCUCCUCCCCAUUCUCCUCCUAUCAUCCUCCGCCAAGAUCUGCACACCUCCCCCUAGAUCCGGUCCCCUCCCAAGUCCUCGCCGCUCCCCAUCC
Molecule: long non-coding RNA, 356 nt
Filed under: Setaria viridis
Lineage: Eukaryota; Viridiplantae; Streptophyta; Magnoliopsida; Poales; Poaceae
Description: long non-coding RNA (SVIR_LNC010557)
Source: RNAcentral